CCCACAAUUGUGAUUGUGGCUUUAUGAAAUAACUUAAUGCAAAACACGCUGGAUGUUUUUGCUUUACGCCUCUUGAAAUCUUUAGAUGAAAAAAAAGCCUGCUUUUGAGGACCCCUUUUGCUACUUAUGCUAGGAGUUUUCAUUUGCUGCAUUUAGUUGGUCUCUGCAUUUAGUUUUCAUUUGCUCCAUUCAGGCAUAAGUAUAAUUUAUAAAUAAUUAAAUGGGAAUAUAAGAAGUUUUAAAAGCAAAAUGAGAUUUAAAAGUAAAAAUAAUGUAAUAGAAAUAGAUGCAAAACAUACGUUUACCAAACAAAUAAAUGUUAAACAUUGUUAAAAAAUGUCCUUUAUGAUUUCAUAUUUCUAAGUAGGACUAAAAUUAAGAAAUGUAUCUUAAAAUUGAACUGAUAAUAUGAAUAAUAAAGAACUUGUUCAGAGAUAAUAAAUGAUUGAGGGUCUAUUUUUUUCCCCCCUUUCUCUUUUAAUUAUUAUUAUGUUUUUUUAAGUUGAGGUAAUUUUCGUUGUGAGUUUGAAAAGCCAAAGAGAUACAAAGCCUAUCCUCUUAAAUGGUUGGGACAUGGGAGGUACAAUCAUUCCAGCACUGAUCUCAGGCAGUCUAUUUUUCCAUCUCCAACGAAAACAUGGUCUGGGUCUUUUUCCUGUUGACCCGCCUUCAGGUUAGUGCUGUGUUGUAAUAUGGUGGGCUUUUAUCCUUUCACAUUUUACUGUGCUUAUUCUAUGGAAAUUUCACAAUACCUGUUUUUUUUAUCUGUCAACAAGAAAAUUAUCUGACCCUGGCUUAGGAAAUUACAUACUAGAACAACAGUGAGCUCUUUCGUACCCAGUUUCUUGGAUUUUACUAUUUGCUUCUGUUUUUUCUUUUCUUUCCCUAAAAUGUCAUUUGGUUUUAGCGUGUUCAGCUUAUGUGUAGUUUGUCAGCAUUGUACCAUGGAAAAAUGAGCUCUUGUGCCUUAAUAAUAGCAAAAAAAGGAUCUUUAUAUGUCUUAUUUAAGCAUGAGUAAUUUUUCUUUUCCUUAAAAAAAAAAAAAAAAAAAAAAGAAGGAUAGGUCUUUGUAAUCUGUUUCUGUAUUGCAACUGCAGCAUUUCCCCUACGUAGGAAACAAUAUGGGAUCACCACUGGCCAUUGCCUGUUUGAAAGUCUUGAUCAUACUCUUAACCAUGCUAUUAGAUUGAGUAGUCGUUGUUAAUAUUCUAUGCAAGUUUUAUGGACUUGCAAAGGCUGCGUGUAAAUCAAAGACUAGGUAUGUGGUUGACGCCCACCCUAGGAGGGCAUGUCUUGCUCAGAAGCUUUUCUUAGGGGAAAGCAUGCAUAAAAGAACUCCCUAACAAGUAUCAUCACCAUGGGCAAUUGGCCGCCUUUACAUAUUCUAGUACUCUCUAGAGGAGUUAUAAUUUAUAGUUCCUUAAGGAUAUUUUCAUUCUUAGAGCCAUAAGGAUGAACUAUUCUGUUGGAAAUUGUUAUAAGUGGGUGAUUACACAGCAGCUUAUCAUGAACUCUGAUGAUAUCCUCUUAGAACUGUAAAAAUGAUAUCCUUUUUGAACUGCAAAUAUCUCCAAAGCUUGUUUCUUUAAAUACUUCUUGUAUUUGCUCGACGGAACCUGGAGACUGACUAGAGAAUGUGAACUUCUUUUGUUAGUCUGUGACUGUAAUAUAUGGCCAAAGUUACUUUCUGCGUACCUUUCUAUCUCAACUGUUCUUGCAGAUUGCUCGAUCCUCUCUCUCUUUCUCUCAUGUCACCCUUUACAAGUUUUGUAUAUAGUUCCUUAUGGUGCAGAUCAUUUUCUAAUUCAUGAACCUCAGCAACAUAUUUUCCUUUUAGUUGAAGAAAGAGUUUAAGUGAAUAUGAGUACUAUAUAUUUCAAAGGGGGUUGUACAAAGUGGGUCGGAAAGGCUAAAUCUUCUAGUUCUUCGUGCGAAGUUCUAGUUCGGGAUUGCUCAAAAUAUAGUACCUUUAUUAACAAAAACCUUGGCUCAAAGGAGGAAGUUCAUCGGUUCCCAAAUAAAGAAACCACUUUAAGAGAUGGAGACCUGGAACUGAUAAUGCAACCUACAGGUUUUAUUUUGUUCCACUAAUUUUCUGGGAAUGCUCCUUGAAGAACCUUCCAAGUGAAUCAUCCCCUUCAGGACAAAAUUUCAUCAAUUGGUUAGUAAGGAGGACAUUUUGUGGAUGACGGUUCCCAUGCGUAGCUGCCCAACUGUUUUUAUUGUUGCAUGUUACAAAUGGUCUCCUGAUUUGGAUUUUAGUUUACUGUUAUUCUAUUUGUGUGUUUAUGCUGGCUUAGUUUAUAUGGUUGGGUCAUUUUUCUUAAAAUUUUAAACUUUAGGACGCUGGUGGCAACUUAAUGUCGUAUUAGAAUUUAAAGUUAUCUGCUUGGUCUUCUGUUCAAGUCUUUAUCUAUUGUCAGCACGUCAGCUCCACUUUAUUUCUGGUUAUUGAGCAUGCCUAUAUGUGAGGGGAUUGUUAGAUGUUUUUUGUUGAUUAGAUUUACAAGGCUGGUCCACUUUUAAAUCUCUCAAUUUUCAGUAUUAUAUGUGUAUUAAUGUCCAUGUUAACUUGAUAUUUACAAUUAGCCUCAGUUCCUAUCAUCUUAAUCUUUUAGGAUAGAUUUAUAAUUUACCAUGUAUUUGAUCUGGUUGUCUAUCUGUGUUGUAUUCAAAAUUUUUACUCCCAUUUUUGGUAAUUUAUUGUUCUGCACAUAUAAGACCUGCCUUAUCUACUAUUAUCGCAAAUCUACAUGUGAGGAGUGGGGAACAUUAGUUUGUCCUUGUAUUGAAUUUCUUAAGGUGGAGCCACUUUUUCAUAGGUGCUUCUAAUAAAACACCAUGUUGAUGAUA
Ziziphus jujuba (common jujube) is the source of this 2853-nucleotide RNA transcript. It is a transcript of the gene named nibrin homolog, with no coding region annotated. NCBI's taxonomy places the organism in Eukaryota, Viridiplantae, Streptophyta, Magnoliopsida, Rosales, Rhamnaceae. The transcript is spliced from 4 exons. The record is from RefSeq and is a predicted model, not a curated record.